RNAcentral lists this ribosomal RNA (495 nucleotides) under uncultured bacterium. Its description in RNAcentral is "partial 16S ribosomal RNA". It matches the Rfam family "Bacterial small subunit ribosomal RNA", at positions 28 to 507 of the family's 1533-position model. The record is from RNAcentral.
GACGAACGCUGGCGGCGUGCCUAAUACAUGCAAGUAGAACGCUGAAGGAGGAGCUUGCUUCUCUGGAUGAGUUGUGAACGGGUGAGUAACGCGUAGGUAACCUGCCUGGUAGCGGGGGAUAACUAUUGGAAACGAUAGCUAAUACCGCAUAAUAUUGACUAUUGCAUGAUAGUCAGUUGAAAGGUGCAACUGCACCACUACCAGAUGGACCUGCGUUGUAUUAGCUAGUUGGUGGGGUAACGGCUCACCAAGGCGACGAUACAUAGCCGACCUGAGAGGGUGAUCGGCCACACUGGGACUGAGACACGGCCCAGACUCCUACGGGAGGCAGCAGUAGGGAAUCUUCGGCAAUGGACGGAAGUCUGACCGAGCAACGCCGCGUGAGUGAAGAAGGUUUUCGGAUCGUAAAGCUCUGUUGUAAGAGAAGAACGAGUGUGAGAGUGGAAAGCUCACACUGUGACGGUAUCUUACCAGAAAGGGACGGCUAACUACGUG